Molecule: long non-coding RNA, 1490 nt
Organism: Chinchilla lanigera (long-tailed chinchilla)
Lineage: Eukaryota; Metazoa; Chordata; Mammalia; Rodentia; Chinchillidae
Exons: 5
Source: RefSeq, a predicted model, not a curated record
GAGGACACUUUGGACUUGGACUCUUCAGCAAUGCUGAAAGUGUUAAGACAUUGGCAACUCUUAGAGAUGGAUUAAAUGAAUUUUGCAUAGAGAUGGACACUGAGAACAAUCUUCAAGAAGCCUCCGACUCAAGCAAUGAGAAAGUCCAUUGGCCCAUAUCAGACCUCAUGUACAGAUCCAUGAAGAUGAUGUCUGGAUGUGGAGGAGAUCAUGGUGGUGCAUGAAAGAGCCUUCAGUCUGCAUGUGGGUCUCGGUGCCUCUCUUCACAUCCUCAUGAGCCUCCUGAAGCCAUUUCCUUAGCUGCCUCCUGCAUCAACACCUCUCUUAGCUUUCCCACCUUUUGAUUCUGCAAGCAGUGAAAUUUCUGACUAAAAUAAAUCCAUGAGCUGGUCUGGGCUGGAAUGACUGCAAAGUGCUGACCUUCACAUCAGAAUCACCGCCAUCUGAGAGGAGUCUGGUGCUACCCUUUACUUGUCCCAGCAACAAAAAAGACACAAAAGAGAGGCAUAGGAAGUCAUCAAGACCUCAUCAAGGUCCAGAGGAGUUUAUAAUUGCAAUCUCAGGAAAAAGUUACCGGAAUUCUCACAACACACAAAAUGAGAAGAGAGUGUAUUCAUGAUGAGAUUAGAGGAAGAGCAAGAAGACUAGUCUGACAAAAGGGAAGUUUAUGAAGGAGGCAGCCAGGACACGGAAGACUCCACGGCUGCAGUACUUGCUGAGAACACCAGAAGCCACACACACCCAUGGUGUAUUUUUCUCCAGAAUCAAGCAUUGACUUUCUCUAAUGCUUUGGAAAGGAAGAGUGAGUCUUUAAUUGGCUUUGCAUAUUAUUUUCGAAGGAAUGCAGAAGUUGGUAUACUGUUAUGCAAAACAAACAUAUUUGCAUGAAUGCUUAAGGUUAAAAACUUCAAAGAACACUAUCACUUGCAGAAAAACCUCCAUGCCUGAAUGUUCUCCUCCCUAAACAAUUCCCUCUCCCUCACUGUUGACUCCAGUCAAUUUACACGCUCAACCAAGUGUAACUCCUAUCAUAUCCCAGGUGGACUCCUCUUUCUGCUGGAUGUCACUGCCCCUGGCCAGGCAAUUACCAUGUCUCACUCGGGUAACUGCAGUCCAUUCCAGCUGGUCCUGUCCUUUCUUGUCCCUCCUGUCCUUUCUUCUCCCUCUCUUUCUUCUACACUAUGUCCAAGGUCAUCAUUCUACAAGGACAGUGGAAUCACACUGCCCUAGCACUAUAACUUCCCCAGCAUCUUCUUUUCACCUAUCAUCCUGCAACAUCCAACCUCUCCCACUGUACCUGCACAUCGCUGGUGGGUUUUGCUGACCCACAUCUGCUCUGCUCACACUGUCCUUGAGCAUCAACACCUCAUCUUUUGAGAAAGCACUUCCUGCAACUGGUCAUGGUGGUAGCUACCUGGAGUCCCAGAACUCUAGAUGGCUGAGGCAGGAGGAUCACCAGUGCCAGCCCAGCCUCAGCAACUUAAUGACUU